CAAAGAAGAGGCCGACCACAGUGCGGUGCGGCCCCACAGGUGGCACAUCUCAGGCACAUAUGGUUUGUGACUCUCCGGCCUUCUCCAUACAUGUCUGCUCUUACGUACAGAGGCCCUGUCUGUCUCUAGGAGAAAACAUCAUGCUAUUUUUUACAAAAGGGCAGAAGAAACCUUCUCAAGUGACGCUAGUUACCGUCAUUCCGUGGAUCUGGAAACAGCUUCCUCCACUUUACCAAUGGUUUUCUGUACCUAGAAUUAGCUCCU
Long non-coding RNA from Homo sapiens (human), 264 nucleotides. NCBI's taxonomy places the organism in Eukaryota, Metazoa, Chordata, Mammalia, Primates, Hominidae. The record is from Ensembl.